Molecule: ribosomal RNA, 433 nt
Filed under: uncultured bacterium
Lineage: Bacteria
Description: partial 16S ribosomal RNA
Rfam family: Bacterial small subunit ribosomal RNA
Source: RNAcentral
AACGAACGCUGGCGGCAUGCCUAACACAUGCAAGUCGAACGAGACCUUCGGGUCUAGUGGCGCACGGGUGCGUAACGCGUGGGAACCUGCCCUUAGGUUCGGAAUAACUCCCCGAAAGGGGUGCUAAUACCGGAUAAUGUCUUCGGACCAAAGAUUUAUCGCCUUUGGAUGGGCCCGCGUUGGAUUAGCUAGUUGGUAGGGUAAAAGCCUACCAAGGCGACGAUCCAUAGCUGGUCUGAGAGGAUGAUCAGCCACACUGGGACUGAGACACGGCCCAGACUCCUACGGGGGGCAGCAGUGGGGAGUAUUGGACAAUGAGCGAAAGCCUAAUCCAGCAGUGCCGCGUGAGUGAUGAAGGCCUUAGGGUUGUAAAGCUCUUUUACCCGGGAUGAUAAUGACAGUACCGGGAGAAUAAGCUCCGGCUAACUCCGUG